Sphenostylis stenocarpa is the source of this 81-nucleotide non-coding RNA. Lineage: Eukaryota; Viridiplantae; Streptophyta; Magnoliopsida; Fabales; Fabaceae. The record is from the annotation of a GenBank genome assembly.
AUUAGAAUGGCUGAGUAGUCUAAGACGUUAGGCUCAAGUUCUAAUCCUUGGAAGGUGUGGGUUCAAAUCCCACUUCUGAUA